AUUGAACGCUGGCGGCAUGCCUUACACAUGCAAGUCGAACGGUAACGGGCCUUCGGGUGCCGACGAGUGGCGAACGGGUGAGUAAUACAUCGGAACGUGCCCGAUCGUGGGGGAUAACGAGGCGAAAGCUUUGCUAAUACCGCAUACGAUCUACGGAUGAAAGCAGGGGACCGCAAGGCCUUGCGCGGACGGAGCGGCCGAUGGCAGAUUAGGUAGUUGGUGGGAUAAAUGCUUACCAAGCCGACGAUCUGUAGCUGGUCUGAGAGGAUGAUCAGCCACACUGGGACUGAGACACGGCCCAGACUCCUACGGGAGGCAGCAGUGGGGAAUUUUGGACAAUGGGCGCAAGCCUGAUCCAGCCAUGCCGCGUGCAGGAUGAAGGCCUUCGGGUUGUAAACUGCUUUUGUACGGAACGAAAAGCCUUCUUUUAAUACAGGAGGGUCAUGACGGUACCGUAAGAAUAAGCACCGGCUAACUACGU
Molecule: ribosomal RNA, 481 nt
Filed under: uncultured bacterium
Lineage: Bacteria
Description: partial 16S ribosomal RNA
Rfam family: Bacterial small subunit ribosomal RNA
Source: RNAcentral